UACAGAGGUCUCAAGCGUUGUUCGGAUUCAUUGGGCGUAAAGGGCGCGUAGGCGGCUUGGCAAGUGGAAGGUGAAAUCCCUCGGCUUAACCGAGGAACUGCCCUCCAAACUGCUUCGCUUGAGACCGGGAGAGGUGAGUGGAAUUCCCAGUGUAGCGGUGAAAUGCGUAGAUAUUGGGAGGAACACCAGUGGCGAAGGCGGCUCACUGGACCGGUACUGACGCUGAAGCGCGAAAGCGUGGGGAGCAAACGGG
Molecule: ribosomal RNA, 253 nt
Filed under: uncultured bacterium
Lineage: Bacteria
Description: partial 16S ribosomal RNA
Rfam family: Bacterial small subunit ribosomal RNA
Source: RNAcentral